GACGUAGGGUGCGAGCGUUGUCCGGAUUUAUUGGGCGUAAAGAGCUCGUAGGCGGCUCGUCGCGUCGACCGUGAAAACCCGCGGCUUAACUGCGGGCUUGCGGUUGAUACGGGCGGGCUAGAGUUCGGUAGGGGAGACUGGAAUUCCUGGUGUAGCGGUGAAAUGCGUAGAUAUCGGGAGGAACACCAGUGGCGAAGGCGACUACCUGGCCUGUUCUUGACGCUGAGGCGCGAAAGCUAGGGGAGCAAACGGG
Molecule: ribosomal RNA, 253 nt
Filed under: uncultured bacterium
Lineage: Bacteria
Description: partial 16S ribosomal RNA
Rfam family: Bacterial small subunit ribosomal RNA
Source: RNAcentral